RNAcentral lists this ribosomal RNA (253 nucleotides) under uncultured bacterium. RNAcentral's name for it is "partial 16S ribosomal RNA". It matches the Rfam family "Bacterial small subunit ribosomal RNA", at positions 524 to 776 of the family's 1533-position model. The record is from RNAcentral.
UACGUAGGGGGCGAGCGUUGUCCGGGGUUACUGGGCGUAAAGGGCGCGCAGGCGGUCUGGCAAGUUUGGAGUGACAGUGCUCGGCUUAACUGAGCAAGGCCUUCAAAAACUGCUGGACUUGAGCACUCAAGAGGGACAUAGAAUUCCGGGUGGAGUGGUGAAAUGCGUAGAUAUCCGGAGGAAUACCAAAGGCGAAGGCAGUGUCCUGGGGAGUGUCUGACGCUCAGGCGCGAAAGCUAGGGGAGCGAACAGG